AAAACGACUCUCGACAACGGAUAUCUCGGCUCUCGCAUCGAUGAAGAACGUAGCAAAAUGCGAUACUUGGUGUGAAUUGCAGAAUCCCGUGAACCAUCGAGUUUUUGAACGCAAGUUGCGCCUAAAGCCAUUAGGUUGAGGGCACGUCUGCCUGGGCGGCUCGC
Molecule: ribosomal RNA, 164 nt
Filed under: Impatiens chimiliensis
Lineage: Eukaryota; Viridiplantae; Streptophyta; Magnoliopsida; Ericales; Balsaminaceae
Description: 5.8S ribosomal RNA
Rfam family: 5.8S ribosomal RNA
About the family: 5.8S ribosomal RNA (5.8S rRNA) is a component of the large subunit of the eukaryotic ribosome. It is transcribed by RNA polymerase I as part of the 45S precursor that also contains 18S and 28S rRNA.
Source: RNAcentral